AUUUUAUUGAGAGUUUGAUCCUGGCUCAGGAUGAACGCUGGCGGCGUGCUUAACACAUGCAAGUCGAACGGAGUGCUCAUGACGGAGGAUUCGUCCAACGGAUUGAGUUACUUAGUGGCGGACGGGUGAGUAACGCGUGAGGAACCUGCCUUGGAGUGGGGAAUAACAGCCCGAAAGGGUUGCUAAUACCGCAUGAUGCAGUUG
RNAcentral lists this ribosomal RNA (204 nucleotides) under Flavonifractor sp. An82. RNAcentral describes it as "partial 16S ribosomal RNA". It matches the Rfam family "Bacterial small subunit ribosomal RNA", at positions 1 to 184 of the family's 1533-position model. The record is from RNAcentral. Lineage: Bacteria; Bacillati; Bacillota; Clostridia; Eubacteriales; Oscillospiraceae.